This 301-nucleotide ribosomal RNA is filed under the name uncultured bacterium. RNAcentral's name for it is "partial 16S ribosomal RNA". It matches the Rfam family "Bacterial small subunit ribosomal RNA", at positions 509 to 807 of the family's 1533-position model. The record is from RNAcentral.
CAGUCGCCGCGGGAAUACGAAGUGGGCUAGCGUUGUUCGGAAUCACUGGGCGUAAAGGGUGCGUAGGCGGGAUUUUAAGUCAGGGGUGAAAUCCCGAGGCUCAACCUCGGAACUGCCUUUGAUACUGGGAUCCUUGAGUCCGGAAGAGGUGAGUGGAACUGCGAGUGUAGAGGUGAAAUUCGUAGAUAUUCGCAAGAACACCGGUGGCGAAGGCGGCUCACUGGUCCGGAACUGACGCUGAGGCACGACAGCAUGGGGAGCAAACAGGAUUAGAUACCCGCGUAGUCCCUGUCUCUUAUAC